ACGCUCGACACCUACGGGAGGCAGCAGUGGGGAAUAUUGGGCAAUGGGCGCAAGCCUGACCCAGCAACGCCGCGUGAAGGAAGAAGGCCCUCGGGUUGUAAACUUCUUUUAACAGGGACGAAGUAAGUGACGGUACCUGUUGAAUAAGCCACGGCUAACUACGUGCCACAGCCGCGGUAAUCUGAGCGGGCUGGCAAGGC
Molecule: ribosomal RNA, 200 nt
Filed under: uncultured bacterium
Lineage: Bacteria
Description: partial 16S ribosomal RNA
Rfam family: Bacterial small subunit ribosomal RNA
Source: RNAcentral